UGUAAGUCAGCAGGAGACACGAGAAAGUCUACUUUAUAAUACUUCUACUAAAUACUAUGAGAAUUUACUAAACUAUAAAAGCAUGAAGCUGCCAGACAGCUAAUGUAACAGCCAUAACAAUUUUAAUUGCAAGGAUCUCGUCGGCCCAACAGUGCGAUGGUCUAACUGCCAGCCAAACCAUACUCCACACCAUUUAAUUAUUUUUUUGUUUUCGUUUCGUACUACAAUGGCCUACUUCAUUUUGAUGUUGGCUAUAUUUGUAAUUAAUUUUCUGACCAAUUUGUACAUAAUAAGCUACUAAUGUUACUGUAUUAUAAGUAAGUUGUUAUAAGAUGUAAAAAUGAGCUUAAGACUCAAUAAAUGCUUAAUAAACUUUCAAUUAUAUGCGAAGAGACUGACCAUUGGCAUUAUUUAGAUAAAUACCA
Zerene cesonia (dogface butterfly) is the source of this 425-nucleotide long non-coding RNA. RefSeq lists it as uncharacterized. The record is from RefSeq and is a predicted model, not a curated record. The transcript has 2 exons. Lineage: Eukaryota; Metazoa; Arthropoda; Insecta; Lepidoptera; Pieridae.